RNAcentral lists this ribosomal RNA (584 nucleotides) under Rothia dentocariosa. RNAcentral describes it as "bacterial SSU rRNA". It matches the Rfam family "Bacterial small subunit ribosomal RNA", at positions 375 to 971 of the family's 1533-position model. Lineage: Bacteria; Bacillati; Actinomycetota; Actinomycetes; Micrococcales; Micrococcaceae. The record is from RNAcentral.
GCGCAAGCCUGAUGCAGCGACGCCGCGUGAGGGAUGACGGCCUUCGGGUUGUAAACCUCUGUUAGCAUCGAAGAAGCGAAAGUGACGGUAGGUGCAGAGAAAGCGCCGGCUAACUACGUGCCAGCAGCCGCGGUAAUACGUAGGGCGCGAGCGUUGUCCGGAAUUAUUGGGCGUAAAGAGCUUGUAGGCGGUUGGUCGCGUCUGCUGUGAAAGGCUGGGGCUUAACCCUGGUUUUGCAGUGGGUACGGGCUAACUAGAGUGCAGUAGGGGAGACUGGAAUUCCUGGUGUAGCGGUGGAAUGCGCAGAUAUCAGGAGGAACACCGAUGGCGAAGGCAGGUCUCUGGGCUGUAACUGACGCUGAGAAGCGAAAGCAUGGGGAGCGAACAGGAUUAGAUACCCUGGUAGUCCAUGCCGUAAACGUUGGGCACUAGGUGUGGGGGACAUUCCACGUUUUCCGCGCCGUAGCUAACGCAUUAAGUGCCCGCCUGGGGAGUACGGCCGCAAGGCUAAACUCAAAGAAAUUGACGGGGGCCCGCACAAGCGGCGGAGCAUGCGGAUUAAUUCGAUGCAACGCGAAGAACCU